UGCUAGUCGCACGGGUUUAGACCCGUGGCAUAUAGCUCAGUAACACGUGGCCAAACUACCCUGUGGACGGAGAUACCCUCGGGAAACUGAGGUUAAUCUCCGAUACGACUCGCCAGCUGGAAUGCGGCGAGCCGGAAACGUUCCGGCGCCACAGGAUGUGGCUGCGGCCGAUUAGGUAGACGGUGAGGUAACGGCUCACCGUGCCAAUAAUCGGUACGGGUCAUGAGAGUGAGAACCCGGAGACGGUAUCUGAGACAAGAUGCCGGGCCCUACGGGGCGCAGCAGGCGCGAAACCUUUACACUGCACGACAGUGCGAUAGGGGGACUCCGAGUGCGAGGGCAUAUAGUCCUCGCUUUUCUGUACCCUAAGGUGGUACAAGAAUAAGGGCUGGGCAAGACCGGUGCCAGCCGCCGCGGUAAUACCGGCAGCCCGAGUGAUGGCCGUUAUUAUUGGGCCUAAAGCGUCCGUAGCUGGCCGCGCAAGUCCGUCGGGAAAUCCACCUGCCCAACAGGUGGGCGUCCGGCGGAAACUGUGUGGCUUGGAACCGGAAGGCUCAGAGGGUACGUCCGGGGUAGGAGUGAAAUCCCGUAAUCCCGGACGGACCACCAAUGGCGAAAGCACUCUGAGAAGACGGCUUCGACAGUGAGGGACGAAAGCUAGGGUCUCAAACCGGAUUAGAUACCCGGGUAGUCCUAGCUGUAAACGAUGCUCG
RNAcentral lists this ribosomal RNA (713 nucleotides) under uncultured archaeon. RNAcentral describes it as "bacterial SSU rRNA". It matches the Rfam family "Archaeal small subunit ribosomal RNA", at positions 52 to 766 of the family's 1478-position model. The record is from RNAcentral.